Long non-coding RNA from Fukomys damarensis (Damara mole-rat), 5746 nucleotides. NCBI's taxonomy places the organism in Eukaryota, Metazoa, Chordata, Mammalia, Rodentia, Bathyergidae. The record is from Ensembl.
GAUAACGUCUGCUCGGAGACACUGGCGUCUUUGUGGGGCUGUCAGUGUCCCUAUUGUUCCCGAGCCGAUUGCCUGGGGAAUAUUGUUCCCAGCUUUUGUCUCCCCCGAUCACUUUUGUUUGCCUUUACUUACCAUUUCAUUCCCCGCUCCCUUUGUGGCUCCCAUUCCCUGCUUUGUCUCUCUCCCGCGGUGGCUGGGGAUUGGUGCCCAGGGAGACAAUGGGCUGCCCCCGCCCGGCCUGCAGCCCCACCCUGCGCCUCACCCUCCGCGGCCGCCGGCCAGCGAGGUCCCAGGGCGGGGGCCUCCCGGGAACCGGAAACAGGCCCAGGGAGUGCUUGGCUUCCAGGGCAAGCCAGAGAAGAAAGGCCCGGAUCGGAUGGUGCUCACGGCCGAGGCCGACCGUCCCAGCUUCCUGCCUUGAUAAGGUGGAAACGGCCUACAGAGCUGAGGAAGCCUUCGCCGUGGGGAGCCAGGGCGCGGACCCAGCCCAGAGCCCGAGCCAGGCUUCUGCUCCUUCAUUGUUCUGCUUCUGAGGACACUGGGCACAGUCUCCGGAGGGCCAUUGUGUCAGAAGCUGGAAAUUGGGUAGGGGAUUUCCGGAAGGUUUGGAUGGAAGCCAGGCUUGGCUGUGGGCAGACAGGAGGAAGAGGACGAGGAAGGGGAAGAGGAAAGGGAGGGGUCGUCUGGGCUUGGGGGCCUACUACUAGGCCCAGCGGACAAGCGCCCUCCCGGCUCCGCCGCUCCCGAUCUCAGGCCUCCUACUUUUGCUCUGGUUUUUUCUUUCCUUCUGUCCAGCUCCCUCCUCCAGCCAGCAUCAGCUCUAGAUACACAGAAAGCAAAGCGUGAUAGUCUGUCCCGGCCUUGAAGGCCAGAACUGAGCCUGGCAACCUUUGUAGCCCUGGCCACGGUGCAGAGAAAGAGGUCAGUGGAGGUGUGGAGGAGAGGAAGCCUUCUUGGGUUUUUGUUGUUAUGUUGUUUUGUGUUCGGGAGACUGAACCCAGGGCCUGUGAUCUGAGCUACACCCUGGGGGCUUGUUUUAUUUUUUGUUUUGAGACAGGGUUUCACUGAAUUGCCUGAGCUGGGCUUGAAUUUGCUCCUCUUGCCUCAGCCUCCCAGAGUGCUGGGAUCGCAGGUGUGUGCUGCUCAGAACCUCUGCUUUCUGUUGGGCCUGCGCGGAGCACAGCCGCCUUCCCUCUGCCUGCCCUGUGAGGAGGCAUUGAGGUCGGAGCUCCACCGGGACAGGACCACCCCGACCGCCCAACCCAGGACUCAGCACAGGUGCUGCGCCUGGCCAGCCCUGCAGUGCCCAGCAGAUGUGGAACUAGAUUAACACGGCGGGGUAUGCUGAUUUCUCCAGUGCUUUCUGGAGGGUGUUUCGAGCUUGGCGUAGUCAAUGACUUUGACAUUUACCGUUUGAUCCAUCUACAGUUAUUGAUGAGAUCUUUGAAAAUAGCCAUCGGCCAUGAAAAUCAAAGCAUUUACAUUUUUAUCUAAAAAACCGGACUCAUAUCCCAUCUGGACUGGAAUAAACUGGAGAUCUAGGAAGUAAGAUAAUAUAGGUUGUGAAGCAACAAAGUGAAGUUGUGAAAGCAAUAAAUUAUUUGCUUGAGAGAACAGAUACUUGCCUUGUAGCCAUUCUAAGACUUGUAGCCAAAUCUAAGCGAAAAAGGUGGAAUGUCUGGGACUUUCUAUGCGGGGGCUGGCUCAGCAAGGAAACAUACCUUUUGCCUUUCUUGUCGUCCAGAGGAGAAUGUGGCUGUACUGGCUGGAGUUCCAGGAGCCAUCUUGUGACCUCAGGAGGACGGGGAGUUUGAAAGUAUUCUGGUAAGGAAGGUCAAACAGAAAAAUAGAAAGUACUGCAUUUACCAAAAGAGACCAGGUCUUACGUUAAUUUUUGCUCCAAAAGAUGCAAUAGGACUGUUUUUAGGGGUUGUCUUAUUUUUUUCAUGUACAGGUGUAACAAUCUACAUUUAUUCAUUUACAGUGACCUACAUUUAUUUAUUUAUUUUUAAUGAUUUUUUGAGACAGAGUCUCCCAUUGUUGUCCAGGCUGGCCUUGAAUUCACUAAGUACCCUAGACUGGCCUCAGAUUUGUGGUAAUCCUCCUGCCUCAGCCUCUCGAGUGCUGGGAUUACAGGUGUGUGCCACCACACCUGACUACAUUUCUUCAUUCCUUCCUGUACAACAAUCCGCCUUUAUUCAAAUGCUGUCACGUCGUCUUCUUAUGGAACAUAUCCUAAUAACUCUCCAAACCCCGAAUGCCAGCCUGAAUUUCUUGCUGCUUCAUUUCCUGUAGAGCCAUUGGCCCCCAAUGUCUCAUGUCCAGCCCUAGAGCUGGCCUUAAAUGAGCGCUUCGUGUCCAUGAAGCCUGCUCCUGGUGCCUCAGCGUGACACACGAGGCGCUGACACAUGACGAUUCAUGUUAGAUGUGACCACGUGUGCCAAGUGCACACGUUAAUCAUGCCUUGCGCCUGUUUUCUGAUUGAUUGGUUAUUCAUCUGCUUUUUUCUUUUUUGGUACCGGGAUGGAACUCGGGUCCUUACACUUGUAAGGCAGACGGCGGAGCCAUUGAGCUAAAUCCCCGGCCCAGAGUCAUUUUUAUUUUGAAACAGGGUUUCACUAAGUUGCCUGAGCUAGUCUUGAACUUUGGAUGCUCCUGCCUCAGCCUUCGGAAUUGCUGGGAUUGCAGUUGUGCUCUGUGCCAUCCAGCCUCAUGUGGUUUAGAAAGACCAAAAUGAUAUUAACGGGGUCUAAAAUGAAUAAAACUAUGCACAUUUACCAAGGAGUAUGGAUGCCGAUGCCUGUGCCUGUGAGACAGUAUCACACAGUGUAAAGUAAUUAAAUGCUGAUUUUUUAAACGAAAAGGUGCUAUAUAAUAUUGAGCACGGAGGAGACAGUGAGAGAAUCAUGAAGAAUCUGUACGCAGCAACAACUGUUAUUUUCACUUUUCAUGGAAAAUGAAGACAGGCUGUGAAAUGCAUCAGGAAUGACCAGAUGAGGUCCGGGGAUUUAGCUCAGUGGCUCUGCCGCCUGCCUUGCAAGCACAAGAUCUCAAAUUUAGUCCCUGGUACCAAAAAAAAAAAAAAAAAAAAAAAAAAAAAAAAAAAAAAAAAUAGAAUAAGCAGAUGAGUCCGGGGAGAAAUUAGCCUUUCUAGCCUCUGAUUCUUCCGGGUUUGCACCUUUCAUUGUCUUGAAGCUAUUUUGUAACACGGGAGUUGUGACUAUCAGAUCCCAAUGCAAAUGUUCCUGCUUCAUGCUGCUGAGAAGGAUUCCUGUUCACAGGAGGGACGCUCCAUUUCUCCCUCCUCCCACACAACUAUCUCCUCCAAAACAGCAGCUUUGCAACAGUUUGUAAAUUCGUUUCCUGGCCUGCGUAUGCAAUGUGUGUGUGGUCUUUGGAUUCUCUUCUGAACUCCUUGAAACGUCUUACUGAUUUCUUCAUUAGUUAAUGAGUUAAAAUCUUUGAUGCGUCCAUUUAAAAUCUGUGUGAAAAUUGUGGCUUCAUCUUUUUAAAAAAUUCUUUGACUGAGGGGGUUUUAGCUCAGUGGUUCUGCCACCUGCCUUGCAAGUGCAAGGAUCAGAGUUUGAUCCCCAGGACAAAAAAAAAAAGAAAAAAUAUUUGACAGAACUUUUACAAAUAAAUAAAAAUACAUUUUCCAAAAAAAUUUUCAGACAGGGCCUAGAGAUGUAGUUCAGCCUAGCCUUGAAUUCACUAUGGAGCCCAGGCUAGCCUCAAACUCGCAGUGAUCCUCCUGCCUCAGCCUCUUGAGUGCUGGGAUUACAGGCCUGCACUAAAUUAGUCUUUGACACAGAAUAUCCUACAAGACUUUAUUUGAACCCUUAAUUAGUCAUCUCUGAAGCUGUGUUUCUGCAAAUAUAUGUCAUGAAACAAUAUUUUUAUUUGUGGUAUUGUGGGUUGAACCCAGGGCCUUUGCAUUGAACUACAUCCUCAGCCCUUUUUCUUGGUACCAAGGAUCAAACUCAGGACCUUGUGCUUGUGAAGCAGGCGGCGGAACCACUGAGCUAAAUCCCCAGCCCUCCUUAGCCCACUUUUAAUUUUGAUACAGGAUCUUGCUGAGUUGCCCAGGCUGAGCUAGAACUUGAUUCUCCUGCUUCAUCCUGUGUGUUGGAUUACAGGGCCCCAGGUCCAUCUAACGAGAAAAUAUUUUCAGUUAUUCAAUGAUGCCCUUUCCCUGUGAGUGUUCACUCAUAUCCCAUUUGAUCCCAGUUUGUUCUAUCAGAUCCUCUGUUUUAGUAUUGUGGGUAGUCUGUUCAAGUUGCCCUACAAAAUACCAUAGAUGGACUGGCUUGAACCACAAGGAUUUCUUCUCACAGUUCGGUGGCCAGAAGGUCACGAUGAAGGUCUCACCCCGUUGGUUCCCAAGGGAGGCUUUCCCUGGCUGGCCAGUGGCCCCAUCUGUGUCCUGCAUGGCCUCUCCUGGUCAUGAAUGGACAGAGCCAGCUCUGGGUAAGGGCACUAUCCUCAUCACAGGGACCACACCUCCUGGGGCCCCACCUCCAGAUGCCACGCCUCAGGGUUAGGGCUUCAGUAUGUAAAUUUGGGGUGGACACAAACCCAUCCUUGCCGUCCUAUAAUUCCAAAGAUGUCUAUGAGUUCUGAGGCUGGGGCUGAGUUGAAAGCUGACUUGAGGUGCCAGGACCACUUUCUGGGGCUGUGGAUGGAGAAGUAGGAGAGGCGGCGGCCUACCCUUGCGAGAUCCCUCAGCCCGGCACAUUUCUUUUUUGGAUUUACCUGUUGCAAGCUAACUUCUGUUAUUUGCAAUCAUGACAACUUUAAUCAAAACAAAAUAACAAGAAGUAAGGAAAGCUGGACAUGUGGUGGACACCUGUAAUCCCAGCACUCGGGAGGCUGAGGCAGGAGGAUCGCUGUGAGUUCAAAACCAGCCUGGCCUACAUUGUGAGUUCCAGGUCAGUCUCAACUACACAGCGAGACCCUGUCUCAAACCCCCCUCAAAAAAAGCUGGGAGAUCCUGAUAAUACUUUGGCACAGCCAGCCAGAAAUAAAGCUCAGGCACUGGAGACCAAGAUAAGGCUCAUUUGGACACCAUUUUUCUCUCCACGUGGUUUUUAUCCUCCUCUCCUUUUCCUCGCUGUCUCCCCUAAACUGGGAAUCAGGGGACUCUUCUCAAGGCACUAGGAGGGGCUUCCUGGUUCAGCUGUGGGAAUGAAGUAAAGAAAUGUAGCUUCUUUCUAGCUGUUUGUACUCACUCUGUGGGUCCUUGCUGUGUGUGCGAUUCUUGUUGUACUUCGCUACUCUUUUUGGUCUCCACUUAUCCCAGUUUUAUAAAUGGUUUUUCUUUCUUGUUUUGUGUUUGUUUGCUUUUUUAAAAAAAAACACUUGGUCUCUUUACCCCCGUUUUGUGAAUGGCUUUUUUCCCUUGGUUUGUGCUCUUGUGAUGUUACUAUUAAGGGUGCCCCACAGAAUCAUGUGGGCUAGACAUGGGCUUAUGUCAAUUGCUAUCUUGUUAUUUUUCUAACUGACCUUACAAGGUAAACCUCCGAUUUGGGAGAACAAGAGGGAGGAGCUUCUUUUUGAAUUAUUUUAACUGGUACAGUGUGUCUUCCCUUACAUGGAAGAGAAAAAUUUGUGCAUUUUUAAAUUAAAAAAAAUUUUUUUUGUACUGGGAAUCGAAUGCAAGGCCUUGCACCACUAAGCUACAUCCCUGGUCCUGUCCAUUUUAAAAGGAAACACCUGAGGCUUUUGCCAAGGUGCAGCCCCAUCCAGG